AUUGAUGACUUGGUCGUAAACGGC
This 24-nucleotide small nuclear RNA is filed under the name Arabidopsis thaliana (thale cress). Its description in RNAcentral is "snRNA_14188". Lineage: Eukaryota; Viridiplantae; Streptophyta; Magnoliopsida; Brassicales; Brassicaceae. The record is from RNAcentral.